CUAUUUAUCCACCAUAUUUGUUACUCAUUAUUUAUCAUUUAAUGUUUCAGAUAAUCAACUCAUUACUUGAAUAACAACAAUUGUCCCAUGCUCCAAGCAUGCACACUUUGUUUCCUAUGGUCCAUGCUUUGUGAAAUAGAUCAAUUGAAAAACUUUUCCAAUGAUGCUCAUUUCACAAUUCACAAUCCUUAUCAUUUGUGUAAGAACACAAGGUUCAUUGCUACUAUUAGAAUAUGCUAGAUUCUAACAUUUUAUGCAACGAUCCUUUCGUAAAGUCAUAGCACAAAAGUCACCAAGACUUGGCUAUUGAAAUUACAAAGUACUCUCUUAGAAAUUGUUACAAGAAAAUUUCAUAGACGUGAAGUCUCACAUUUAAAGUACAUUCCUUUGAACAUUCUUCUUGCGUAGAAGUUUCUAAUCUAGACAAAAACUCUCAAUAUCCAACUCCCAAUAUGGAAACAUUUCCAUAUUUUCCAUAUGACAUCUCAUUCUUAAUAGAAUCUUAUCUAUUCAUAAUAAUGUCGAUACGGUCCAUCCAAUACCAUACUUCCAACUACUCACAAGCGACCAAUCCUCAGCGAACUUUGGAUCGUCCUUUGAUAGUUGAUUAAUUAUUUUAGUCAAAACCGAUUCUAGUCCUUUUCCCUCUUAAUGCGCUAGACAUUUGGAAAAUUUUAGAAUGGUCAAAUAUUAUAGCAUUUGCAAUCGAUCCUAUACCUGAAGCGUAUGGGACACAAUGNUCUCAAUAUCCAACUCCCAAUAUGGAAACAUUUCCACAUUUGCCAUAUGACAACUCAUUCUUAAUAGAAUCUUAUCUAUUCGUAAUAAUGUCGAUAUGGUCCAUCCAAUACCAUACUUUCAACUACUUACAAGCGAUCAAUCCUCAGCGAACUUUGGAUCAUCCUUUGAUAGUUGUUAAAUUCUUUCAGUCAAAACCAAUUCUAUUCCUUUUUCCCUCUUAAUGCGCUAGACAUUUGGAAAAUUUUAGAAUGGUAAAAUACUAUAGCAUUUGCAAUCGAUCCUAUACCCGAAGCGUAUGGGACACGAUGCAUAAUGUCUUACAUAAAGAUAUGAUACUUUACCAAUCUUUUGCCAUAAUAUUUU
RNAcentral lists this long non-coding RNA (1104 nucleotides) under Lactuca sativa (garden lettuce). Its description in RNAcentral is "long non-coding RNA (LSAT_LNC009505)". The record is from RNAcentral. Lineage: Eukaryota; Viridiplantae; Streptophyta; Magnoliopsida; Asterales; Asteraceae.